Molecule: long non-coding RNA, 223 nt
Organism: Humulus lupulus (European hop)
Lineage: Eukaryota; Viridiplantae; Streptophyta; Magnoliopsida; Rosales; Cannabaceae
Exons: 3
Source: RefSeq, a predicted model, not a curated record
CUUCAGAGGCAUAUGUUCCUGAAUUUAAGCAAGGCAAGAAAGCUGUGUCAGUGCCAUUUCCUGGUCUAUCAGAAUAUUUGAGACCUGAAACUCCAGAAGAGGUCCAGGUGGAACCUCUUCUUUCCAGAUCAAAUUUGCUUAUUACUAGGGAUAUAGAGUGGGCAAAUCUUGUCCUUGGUUUUGAGCAGGAAAAUCGGUAUGCCAUUGUGGAUGUGUGCUAACA